CCCGGUAGGUGACGUGCGGAGGUCAUUA
RNAcentral lists this ribosomal RNA (28 nucleotides) under Fulvoderma scaurum. RNAcentral's name for it is "partial 18S ribosomal RNA". Lineage: Eukaryota; Fungi; Basidiomycota; Agaricomycetes; Hymenochaetales; Hymenochaetaceae. The record is from RNAcentral.